UCGUAACAAGGUUUCCGUAGGUGAACCUGCGGAAGGAUCAUUAUUGAAAAAUAAAAACUUGGUCAGGUUUCUUGUUGCUGGCUCAACUUGCUUGAGUAAUGUGCACACACCUCGCCAUUUUUUUUUAAAUAUACAUCCCUCCACCUGUGCAUCAUCUGUGUAGCUUUUGAAAUGAAAAAAGGACUCUGCUGUGUGUGAGAGCACGGCUAAGUCUGUUUCAAAAGGUCUAUAUGUAUCUUUUCUCAUUUACCCCUUUACAAACAUGUUUGAAGAAUGUGAUCAUCACACGCACACAAUGUGUGAUAUAUAAUGCAUAUAUACAACUUUCAGCAACGGAUCUCUUGGCUCUCGCAUCGAUGAAGAACGCAGCGAAAUGCGAUAAGUAAUGUGAAUUGCAGAAUUCAGUGAAUCAUCGAAUCUUUGAACGCACCUUGCGCUCCUUGGUAUUCCGAGGAGCAUGCCUGUUUGAGUGUCAUUAAAUUCUCAACCCUUAAUCAACUUUUGUGUGUUGGUUUGAGUGGCUUGGAUUGUUGGGGGUCUUUGUUGGUUACUUUUUGAAAGUGCCAGCUCCCCUGAAAUGCAUUAGCAGAACAGUGUGUGAUCUGUCACUGGCGGUGAUAGUUUAUCUACGUCAAUAACAAAAGACAAUUGCUCUGCUUCUAACUGUCUCAACGUGGACAAAGAGUUGUACAACCUUGACCUCAAAUCAGGUAGGACUACCCGCUGAACUUAAGCAUA
RNAcentral lists this ribosomal RNA (738 nucleotides) under Smithiomyces dominicanus. RNAcentral's name for it is "eukaryotic LSU rRNA". The stretch from base 322 to 475 matches the Rfam family "5.8S ribosomal RNA". The record is from RNAcentral. Lineage: Eukaryota; Fungi; Basidiomycota; Agaricomycetes; Agaricales; Agaricaceae.